This 260-nucleotide long non-coding RNA is filed under the name Lathyrus oleraceus (garden pea). RNAcentral's name for it is "Pisum sativum (pea) long non-coding RNA (PSAT_LNC034793)". Lineage: Eukaryota; Viridiplantae; Streptophyta; Magnoliopsida; Fabales; Fabaceae. The record is from RNAcentral.
GUUGUUGUCUCUUUGGUUUCACACAGGUUGUCAUCAUCAAAAAGGGGGAGUAUGUAAGGGCAAACUGUCAUACAACAUACGAUCAUAGGUUUCGAUGAUGACAAAUGACCACCAUGGAUGAAUCGGCAUUAUCGAACAUACGAUCAUAGGUUUCGAUGAUGACAAAUGACCACCAUGGAUGAAUCGGCAUUAUCGAUUCCACCUCUACAAAACAAAUGCAACAUAUCACCUAUCAUAUCCUUUUCUAUGCUCAUCUAAAC